ACUCAGACUAACCUUGUGGUUUCAACGCGCACUCUGCUCUGUCCUGAAAUCUGGAACUCAUUACCUCAUCACCAAGAAACUGCACGAAAUCUCUCCCCCACCGCCCCAACACCCACUUGGGAAAGGAACGAGCAAACAUCCCUCUAAGAAAGAAACCUACACUUGAAUGAUUUAAAUUAAGGUGGAUGGAAGUUAUUUCCCUUUCUGGCGCUUGCCAGAUUUCAAGAAAAGCUGAAAAAUGGGAGCGGGGGAGGGAAGCAACAGACGGCUGGAGGGCAGCAGCAGAACAAGCGAGGGGCAGCAGCCGAGUUAAAGUGGGGGCCAUCCAUUUCGGGCAGAGGAGACAAAUGAAAGCCGACCCCGCUGGGAUCACGUAGGUUCGUGGCUGCAGCAAAAGUUGGGUUUCACAAAGUUGAAAAACAGCCGGUUUCUCAAACAAUUGUGAUUUGGAAGGUUUCGCUGGGUUUGCCCAGAUGUUUACGAAUAAAUAAGAAAUGCAGUUUUAAAAAAAA
Molecule: long non-coding RNA, 512 nt
Filed under: Homo sapiens (human)
Lineage: Eukaryota; Metazoa; Chordata; Mammalia; Primates; Hominidae
Description: novel transcript, sense intronic to ZFP36L1
Source: RNAcentral